This 484-nucleotide ribosomal RNA is filed under the name uncultured bacterium. RNAcentral describes it as "partial 16S ribosomal RNA". It matches the Rfam family "Bacterial small subunit ribosomal RNA", at positions 30 to 507 of the family's 1533-position model. The record is from RNAcentral.
AUUGAACGCUGGCGGCAGGCCUAACACAUGCAAGUCGAGCGGUAGAGAGAAGCUUGCUUCUCUUGAGAGCGGCGGACGGGUGAGUAAUGCCUAGGAAUCUGCCUGGUAGUGGGGGAUAACGUUCGGAAACGAACGCUAAUACCGCAUACGUCCUACGGGAGAAAGCAGGGGACCUUCGGGCCUUGCGCUAUCAGAUGAGCCUAGGUCGGAUUAGCUAGUUGGUGAGGUAAUGGCUCACCAAGGCGACGAUCCGUAACUGGUCUGAGAGGAUGAUCAGCCACACUGGAACUGAGACACGGUCCAGACUCCUACGGGAGGCAGCAGUGGGGAAUAUUGGACAAUGGGCGAAAGCCUGAUCCAGCCAUGCCGCGUGUGUGAAGAAGGUCUUCGGAUUGUAAAGCACUUUAAGUUGGGAGGAAGGGCAUUAACCUAAUACGUUAGUGUUUUGACGUUACCGACAGAAUAAGCACCGGCUAACUCUGUG